UUUAAUCUACGAUCCCUAUUCUCUUCUAUGUAGGAUGUAUUAGUGAAAUAAUUACUUUUUACAGUGUUAGUGAAAUAAUUACUAUCCUCCCACGGUGAUAGAUAGAGUAUAAGAAAUUAGCAAUUGUUGUCGACAUUAUUUGUUAGUGUGCUAAACAAGGUUAAAUCUAUUGGACCGGUUAAAUUGUCAAGGAUUUUUAUUUAGGAUCCAGACACAAUUAUUAUCUAAAGCGAUUUUAAAAAGGGUUUGCUGUUAGGCAGCAUGUUGAUGUGGAUUAGGUCGAAGGUUUAGCUUUCUAUUGUCUCUUAUCUCCCUUCUCAGUUUUAG
This 327-nucleotide long non-coding RNA is filed under the name Capsicum annuum. RNAcentral's name for it is "long non-coding RNA (CANN_LNC016150)". The record is from RNAcentral. Lineage: Eukaryota; Viridiplantae; Streptophyta; Magnoliopsida; Solanales; Solanaceae.